UACGGAGGGGGCUAGCGUUGUUCGGAAUUACUGGGCGUAAAGCGCACGUAGGCGGCUUUGUAAGUUAGAGGUGAAAGCCCGGGGCUCAACUCCGGAAUUGCCUUUAAAACUGCAUCGCUAGAACGUCGGAGAGGUGAGUGGAAUUCCGAGUGUAGAGGUGAAAUUCGUAGAUAUUCGGAAGAACACCAGUGGCGAAGGCGACUCACUGGACGACUGUUGACGCUGAGGUGCGAAAGCGUGGGGAGCAAACAGGA
RNAcentral lists this ribosomal RNA (254 nucleotides) under uncultured prokaryote. Its description in RNAcentral is "partial 16S ribosomal RNA". It matches the Rfam family "Bacterial small subunit ribosomal RNA", at positions 524 to 777 of the family's 1533-position model. The record is from RNAcentral.